Molecule: ribosomal RNA, 280 nt
Filed under: Klebsiella pneumoniae
Lineage: Bacteria; Pseudomonadati; Pseudomonadota; Gammaproteobacteria; Enterobacterales; Enterobacteriaceae
Description: partial 23S ribosomal RNA
Rfam family: Bacterial large subunit ribosomal RNA
Source: RNAcentral
AGCUGGGUUUAGAACGUCGUGAGACAGUUCGGUCCCUAUCUGCCGUGGGCGUUGGAAGAUUGAGAGGGGUUGCUCCUAGUACGAGAGGACCGGAGUGAACGCACCACUGGUGUUCGGGUUGUCAUGCCAAUGGCAUUGCCCGGUAGCUAAGUGCGGAAAAGAUAAGCGCUGAAAGCAUCUAAGCGCGAAACUUGCCUCAAGAUGAGUCUUCCCUGGACCUUUAAGGUCCCUGAAGGAACGUUUAAGACUAAGACGUUGAUAGGCUGGGUGUGUAAGUGCA